Molecule: ribosomal RNA, 253 nt
Filed under: uncultured bacterium
Lineage: Bacteria
Description: partial 16S ribosomal RNA
Rfam family: Bacterial small subunit ribosomal RNA
Source: RNAcentral
UACGUAGGGUGCAGGCGUUAAUCGGAAUUACUGGGCGUAAAGCGUGCGCAGGCGGCUCCUUAAGUCAGAUGUGAAAUCCCCGGGCUUAACCUGGGAACUGCGUUUGAAACUGAGGGGCUUGAGUGUGGAAGAGGGGGGUGGAAUUCCAGGUGUAGCAGUGAAAUGCGUAGAUAUCAGGAGGAACACCGAUGGCGAAGGCAGGUCUCUGGGCUGACACUGACGCUCAUGCACGAAAGCGUGGGGAGCAAACAGG